Molecule: long non-coding RNA, 18888 nt
Filed under: Malus domestica (apple)
Lineage: Eukaryota; Viridiplantae; Streptophyta; Magnoliopsida; Rosales; Rosaceae
Description: long non-coding RNA (MDOM_LNC011684)
Source: RNAcentral
UAAACAAGGUAGACUACUCCCAAUAUCAUUAGGCACUUCCUCUAUAUUGCUGUCCGCCAAAAUUAAGCUUGUCAAAGAGCGUAAACCUUGUAAGGAAGGUAGCUGCAAAGAACACUUCAAUUUACUCAAAGAUAAGAGCUCGAGCUUCUCUAGUCGUACGAUGGAAGGUGGUACUUUUUUUAUGGCCGUCCCAUUUGCAUAAAGAGUGACCAAUGAUGCCAUUUCUCCCAAGUGCUCAGACAAGCUUUGGAAUCUUGAACAACCAUCGAGAACAAGAGUUUUGACAGAUUUCAACUUGUAGAAACUCCUCGGAAGAGCCUUAAGCGUUUCACAGUCUUUCAAAUUCACCAACACAAGACUCUUGAGAUCUCCGAUGGACUUGUGAACUUUAGCCAACCUCUUACAGUCUUUGAGUAUCAAUUUCUCAAGAUUUGGGAAUUUCAAAAAGUCUGGCGAUUGUGUUAGAUCGUGGGAGUGGCUGAGAUUUAGAAUCUUCAACUUAUCAAGCAACUGUUAAGAAAAAUCAAAUUUAAAUAAAAAAUUUAAGUCCAAAAAGAAGAUACAAAGAGCAUAAAAAUAAUUCCUAAUUUGGUUCAGGUUACGCAUUGUACUUACCCCAGAUACUCACAAAGAACUUGUCUGAGGCUGCUGUACUGCAUGUCGAUAACAACUAUGUUUGGUUGACACAGUUCUAUUGGUAUGAACUCCAAUGGGAAUCCAUGCCAGCACAACCAUCUUAAUUUUUUGGAAAGACAUUGGUAUCCCCCAGUGAGCCGAACGUAGUUUAGUUGGAGCAAUCUCAGUCUCUUCAUAUUUCUAAACGCCUUAGUACUGAAACUAGUCUCUUCAGGACUUGGCAAAUUCAAAGCCAGACCUUCAAUUUUUUCAGUUCCCUGCUAUCCGAAAAAACAGACUCUAAAUAAGAGAAGGCUUUGCAUGAAAAAAAGUUAGAUUACUAACUUACAUAUGCUUACACGUUUAACAUAAAGUUUGAUUGGGAAAGUACUUACAAAUUUGUCUAUCAAUACAUCAUUUACAUCUUCAGGAUGCCACAAUCUACUCCGUUCUCUAGGGAAAUCGGGAUUUUCUGCAUGCACGAUAUCUCUGCCCAUAUCCCGAAGCAAAUCAUGCAUCAUAAUCUUGUUUUCUCUAUUAAUAGUCACAAGGCACCGGUUAAAGAGGACCUCGAUUCCUGUUGUUGCAUAAAAGCCACAACCAUCCAAGAUUUGCACGACAUCGUUCUUGUCCAUUCCGAUAAAAAAACAAGCUAUAUCGAGGAAUAUCCGCCUCUUGUAAUUAUCAUUUAGCCCGUCGUAGCUUAUUUUUAGUUGUGCCUGAAUUUCUCCACGAGGAAUCAUUUUCAAUUCAUCCAAUAUACUUCUCCAUUCAUCUACGCUUCGUUUGAAAAGAGUAGAUCCUAAAACUUCAAGAGCCAGCGGCAAUCCUCCACAGUAAUUGACAACUUCUCUUUCAAGCACAAGAUAUUGACUAGGACAACUACUACUUCUGAAAGCAUGCCAACUUAGGAGCUCAAGAGCUUCUUCUUGGGCCAUUACUUUCGCCCGAUAUAUCUUUUCAACUGCAAAUUCUUUUAGCACACGUUCGUUUCUAGUUGUGAUGAUGAUUCUGCUUCCCGGGCCAAAAGAGUGGCAAUUUCCAGUUAAUUCGCGUAGCUGUUUCACAUCAUCUACAUCAUCAACUAUGACAAGUACCUUUAAGCGUUGAAAUCUUUCCCUUACCAAGGCGGUCCCUACAGCAACACUGCUUACCUUUGUCUUGGUUUGCAAGAUAUCGAAAAGAAGUUGUUUUUGCAAUUUUUCUAGUUUCUUUUCCCUCACUUUUUCAAGGAAACUUUUACCUUCAAACCUUUCAUAAAAUCUGUUAUAAAUGGCUUUAGCAAUCGUUGUUUUACCUAUUCCACCCAUGCCCAAAAUUCCGAUCACACGAACAUCAUAUGAAUCUCCGAUGCCUAAAUAAUUAUUGAUAUCCAGCACUCGAGUAUCUAUUCCGACUUGAUAGGGCGCUACGUCGAAGUAUUUGUUGUUCAACUUCGUAAUGACGUCAUUGGUAAUCAUUCUGAUAAACUUUGCUUCAUGCCUGGCAUUAGUCAAGUUGAGAAGCAAAACAAAGAUUGUUAUACAACGAAAUUGAACUAAUUAAUAAACAAAAUUAUUUAUCAUGCUAGAGAUUUUAAUUAAGACAAUUUUUUUUGAGGUGGUGUGUUUAAACUUAGCAAACAUCAAUUAAAAUUAAAAUAAGAAACACAAACAAAAAAACCAGCAUCCCUUCCCUCCGCAGCCAGUCGCCGGCGGCUUCCCAGCUGUGAUUAGUGUAGCCUUAACAGUUUAAGCUUUAUUGUAUGAUUUUAUUACAGAGGUCUAAGAAAUCGCAUGAUUCCAAAUUAACAAGCAAAGGUACGUUAAAGCCUUAAUUCAUAAGAAAAGAAAUUAGUAAGUACCCGUCCAAAGUGUUUCUGCGAUCCCAGCCAGACAAAUUCGAAGCUUCAGUAAGAGCAGCUCUCCACCUCUCUACCUUUUUUUCAUCUGUAUGUUUCAGAAACGAUUGUGCAAAACUACCAGUCUGUUUCCUGACAUGCGAAGGAUCAACGUCAUAGAAUAUUGGCAAAACUAAUUGCCCUAGCGUUCUUCUACACUCCAUGAUCUUAACCAGCUCCUCAAGACACCAACUGGAGUCCGAGUACCGUCUUGAGAAGACGAUGAUAGAGAUCCUAGAACCUUGGAUUGCCUGCACAAGUUCGCUAGUUAUAUCUUCUCCUCUUCUUAGUUCGUCGUCAAUAAAGGCGUUGAUUCCGGCCUUUGUCAAUGCUUCGUAGAGGUGGCCCGUGAAGUUUUUACGUGUGUCUUCGCCUCUAAAGCUUAUGAACACUUCGUAGAGCGAGCCUUUUGAGAAGGAGGACAAGGACGGGGAGGCGGAGGAGGACGAUGAGGAUGAGAUUGAGGGUGAGGAGGUGGAGGAGGACGUUGAGGAUGAGGGCGAGGAGGAGGACGAGGACAAGGACGAGGUUUUAUCGGGGACGGAGAUAUUCAUUUGGCGAAAGACGAGGCCGAGGGAGCAGAGGAGGAAGAUGAGGACAUCAAAAACAAGACCGGAAUUGCGAUGUGCAUAGUGGUAGGACUGUAACACCAGCACCAUAAUUAACAGCUUCCCUAAGCUCGACCAGUUAUCCAUUGCCUUCAAUUUCUUUAGGCAAAUUGAAGGUUGUUUGGCGAUAUUGAUUUUUUUCUACCGGAACUACUUUCUUCUUCUUAUAAUUAAUCAACCCGCCUAGGCAGUGCAGUUGACUGUGGACUUGAGUAUUGGUAAAUUGACUUAUGGUCCUACACCCUAAAUUCUACGAGGUGCUCUUUUUUCUUCCACUAUAAAGCCAAAUUAGACACAGUAAAUUGACUUGUGGUCCUACAUCCUAAAUUCCAGGAGGCGCCCUUUUUUUUCCACCUUAUCGCCAAAUUCUACGCGGUGUUUUAUGGUUCACACAAUGAUGAGAGAUUUUUCAGUUUAUAGGAACACAGUCCAGUACACUGUACACCACUUAUAAAACAACUUCAAGAGGGCUAGUUUGAAAAUAUCCUACCGCAAAAUUUGAUUUGGUUUGGACCAAAUUUUGAUUUAGAUGAAAACUAGCAAGAGUGUCCGCGCGUUGCUGCGGGUGUUUAAAAUGUUUUGAUAAUAUGUACAUACAGAAAACAUCAUUUAUUAAAGCUAGACUUCUAUACCUAAGAUAGAGGUUGACAGUGAUCGUAAUUAUCAAAAGUUAGCAGUGUCCAACUGCUCACUGUUCAAAAGAUAGAGAUGCUAUAAAAGCUUAAUUCAUGUACAUAAGUUCAUAGUAUCAUGUACUCAAAAUAAUCAUAGUAUCGAAAGAUUGGCAGUCUUCAACUGCUCAUUGUUCAAAUACGAAAAUAUACAUAUGUCCAUAUCAGAAGGUUGGCACCGCACAUCUGUUGUGUUUAUGUUUUUCCUGUUCAAUCUCUGGUCUUGCUUGUUUGGGAAUGGCCAUCCUUUUUCUUGGCCACCAUGCUGUUGAAUUGGUGCCUAUUCUUUUUUGCUUUGCCCAUGAUUUUUCUCUUGCUAUAUAUUACGAAUUGGAAUUAGUAAGAAUUCCAUAUAAAAAACUAAAUUUGUCAAUCUAUUUAACCAAGAAGUAUAAUCCAGCAAGGUUAUUUUCUCUUUGUUUUUAUCAAAAUGAAUUCCACUGUUCCCAUCUAUUUGCACAUCCCUUUAAAUAAUCCAAAAACACAAAAGAAAUAUAUCUUGAUCCGUACCAAUUAAUGAUUUCCCAUUUACUUAAGUCAAACGUAGCCAAUGAAUUGAUGAAGGAGCUAAAAAAGAGAGACAAAAAAAAAAAAAAUCUCUAUUAUUCAAUUAUAUGGAGAUUUACCUGAUUGUACAAAAGGUUUGAAAAUUACCGUAAAAUUUGAAAUAAGAGAUGAGAUGGAGUGGAAAUCACAUACCAGCAUCAGGCUUAAAUUUGUAGUGCUCAUCUAAGAGAGCAGUGAUAGUGUUGAUGAGAGUGUAGGGAGAGAAACACAAUGCAAAUUGUAAGAGUUUGAGAGAAACCGCUUGAGGGACACUGCAGAUUGAUCGUUGAGAUUUGAGAAACCGAGGAAGUUGCAAUUUGAGACGAACUGCUUUGCAUCAAACGUGGUGGAGUUUCUCUCCUCCACGUUUGAAUAGAAGAGGUAGUUUCAGAGCUGUCUACAAUUAGUCCUAUCAGGAGCUUCUGCACUGGUUGAUGUCUUGGUCUUUUCCUUAGUCGCAUAUGCAUUGUAGACUUGGGUAGAUGAAAAGUAGAAAGAAAAUAAAAAUAUAAAGUCAAAGUUACUACUUAACUAUCUAUGUUGAUUCAUGUCCCACGCAUAAUAAGAAUGGUGAAUCAUUUUUCAUCUCGUGCACUGAUUUGUCAUUGUCAUUCGAAUUCACAAGUCAAUUUACUCCGAAUUUCUUAGUUAUCACCAGGGAAAGAAAAGUUAUAAGCAAAAUUCUAUUUCUAGAUUUUCUCACUAAACUACCUGUUAAACCAUGGUAAAUCAAAAUGGGAAAAAAUUAUAUCUACCUUUGUCAAACCUCUUGGGAUUCAAGUCCACCCGACUCCACCCCAAUACUCAGUGGCGCCCCAGAAAUCUUGCACCUUCAGUAGCCAAGAUCAUGCAUGUAUCAGUAUGAAUACGGAAGAGAAAAUAAAUGCAAUUUAUUAGAAUAAAGAAUAUGGGAUCAACAAAGUUUGUCCCAACUUACAGCGAGGCCAAUAAACAGCAACUGAAGAUAAUUUUUCGUUUUGCUACAUGAGGGGGGCACCCAAAAAUCCAAACCUGUCGAUACGGCACAACUGAGGAUGCCAACUUUAUCCAACUGAGCAAGGGGCUUGAUCUUGGAAAGACGGCCAUAAUGAACAACAAUGUAUUCACUUAAGUAAAAGUGCCAAGACGGUGAUUGGUGAACGUUAUUUCCCAACUGGGUUAGUUUGGCUAUUCCUUUCUAUUGAAAAGGAGUUAGCUGUCUGCGUGAGUCACCACAUUUUGCUUCAUGGCAAAAAUUUGAGGGAUCAAUAGUGUAUGGCCCUGAAUCCCAAAAGGAAAAAAUAACUCAACUAAGUAUAUACAAAGGGUAAGAUCAACAACAUUCCAUAGAACAAUUAAACGCCACUCUCUCAGUUUCGAGUACAACUGCACUUUGUGAUUAAAAUUCACACAUGUUUCACAUAUGCUAAGAACUAAUGUUCCUUAGGUUUUUCAUCACGAACGACAUUUGCAAUCUACUUUUCGAUUUCAAACCUUAAUUAUUCAUUGCCCAUUAAGAAAUGACUAUAUUUCAAACCUUAAUUUUAUAAUCCAAUGGUUUAUUCCUUCACAUGGAUAUUUGAUAUUGAUUUUCAUUUUUUCUACCGGAACUACUUUCUUCUUCUUAUAAUUAAUAAACCCGCCUACGCGGCGCAGUUGACUGAAGACUUGAGUCUUGGUAAAUUGACUUGUGGUCCUACACCCUAAAUUCUACGAGGUGCUCUUUUUCUUCCACUAUAAUGCCAAAUUAUACACGGCGUUGACUUGUGGUUCUACACCCUAAAUUCUAUGAGGCGUCCUUUUUAUUCUACCUUAACGCCAAAUUCUACACGGUACCUUAUGGUUCACACAAUGAUGAGAGAUUUUUCAAUUUAUAGGAACAGUCCAGUACACUGUACACCACUUGUAAAACAACUUCAAGAGGGCUAGUUUGAAAAUAUCCUACUGCAAAAUUUGAUUUGGUUUGGACCAAAUUUUGAUUUAGAUGAAAGCUAGCAACAGUGCCUGCGCGUAAUGUUUUGAUAAUAUGUACAUACAGAAAACAUAAUUUAUUAAAGCUAGAUUUCUAUACCUAAGAUAGAGGUUGACAGUGAUCAUAAUUAUCAAAAGUUGGCAGUGUCCAAUUGCUCACUGUUCAAAAGAUAGAGAUGCUAUCUAUUAGAAUACGGAAGAGAAAAUAAAUGCAAUUUAUUAGAAUAAAGAAUAUGGGAUCAACAAAAUUUGUCCAAACUUACAGCAAGGCCAAUAAACAGCAACUGAAGAAAUUUUUUUGUUUUGCUACAUGAGAGCGGCACCCAAAAAUCCAAACCUGUCGAUACAGCACAACUGAGGAUGCAAACUUUAUCCAACUGAGCAAUGGGCUUGAUCUUGGAAAGAUGGCCAGAAUAAACAACAAUGUAUUCACUUAAGUAAAAGUGCCAAGACAGUGAUUGGUGAAAGUUACUUCCCAGCUGGGUUAGUUUUGCUAUUCCCUUCUAUUGAAAAGGAGUCAGCUGUCUGAGCGAGUCACCACAUUUUGCUUCAUGGCAAAAAAUUUGAGGGAUCAAUAGUGUAUGGCCCUGAAUCCCAAAAGGAAAAAAUAACUCAACUAAGUAUAUAUAAUAUUAAACAUAUAAAGGGUAAGAUCAACCACAUCCCAUAGGAGAACAAUUAAACGUCACUAUCUCAGUUUCGAGUACAACUGCACUUUGUGAUUAAAAUUCACACAUGUUUCACAUAUGCUAAGAACUAAUGUUCCUGUAGGUUUUUCAUCACGAAUGACAUUUGCAAUCUACUUUUCGAUUUCAAACCUUAAUUAUUCAUUGUCCAUUAAGAAAUGACUAUAUUGCCCGGAAACUCUACUCAUAGUUUAUAAAUCUGCAAUUUUCAAAGCUUAAGCAUCUUAAGCAUCUUAAUUGGAUUCCCUACAAUUUGGUGGAGGUUGAAUGGAUUUUUCCUCCCAUUAUACCCUCGGAAAAUAUAAAUAAUCAUUGGAGACUGAGCAACACACACUCAUAAACAUAAUGCAUACAGAAGAAUAAAAUUGACAGAAAACAGAUCAAUGCACAGAGAGAUAGAGGCAUAAAGAGAGAACUUACAUCAGCUGUGCUCUCAAAUACAUAUGGUAAUCUGCAUACGAAGAAACAUAAUACUGAAACAGUUAUAAAUCAUCCUAUUCAAAUAAAUCAAACGAAAUGCAUAAAGAUUACCUUAGUUUCUGAUUCUAUGAUUAUGUAUUUGACUCCACCUCCACGUUGUUCUUUGGUUGUCUCUUUUACUGAAUUAAGUAAUCGACUGAAUUACUUAAUUCAACUGAAUUUAAUUAGAGAGAUGAAAGCUUCGGUAUAAAAUAAUAUUUUAUGCUCUACACGCAUAGCAAAUCAUCAGUAACCUCCAAGAACCUAAUUGUACGAUAAACACUCUAGCAUUAACUACCCAAGAAUUAUAAUCAUGCUUAUUGCCAAAAAUGAUAAACAUGUUUACCUUGACUUCAUUUUUAAUGGCAUAUGUAAUAUACUUUCCAUCUGCAUUAAAAUAACCUACUUCGUUCUCCUCGUUAAUCAAGUUGAAAGGUUCUGUUUAAAUCCCAUCCACAACAAAGUCCUUGUAAUCCUGCCAAAAGAUACCACCAAUCAAUGGCUAUCGCUUCCAUUGAUCCAAUUAGAAGAAGUAUCCAACAAUCUCCUCGACUGAAAAAAUUCUUGCCAAUUUAGAAAAGAACUAUUCCAAAUUACGGAUGUACUCGAUUAAUUUAACCAAGAAUAUGCACGGCACCACCACUAUUAAGAAGCAUCAACAUACAAAGACAAAAGUUUCUACAAUCAGUUGUUAAAUUGCAAUCAAAAACAUGCAUAGAAAGAAUAAAAAUGAGAACAAAGAUGGCAAAACAAUUAACCACACAUGUUGUUUAUCCAAAAAUGCUGAGAGCUUAUGCUUCUGUGACACAACGAGCUUCCUGCAUCACAUAUACUAGAUCAAGUAGGCGUCAUGACAUAAAUUGAAAAGCAGACAAGAUCAAGAAGAUCCAAAAUUAUUGAUAUAUAAUUAUAGUAAAUAAUUGCACAUCAAAAACUCUAGAGGAAGAUAGAUGAAUCUCCAUAUCAAGAAACCAAAGAACAUGACACUACUAAGGACCGUUGCUUCACAUGCAUAUCUGCUACUAUUUUAAAACAAUUAUGUUAGAACAAGUAUAAGAGAGAGGACAAAGUACUACUGAACCGAAAAUGAAAAGGGGGAAAACCUGGAAUGCCAUGCAGUGCCGAAAUCACUACUUAGCAACAAAAGUGCCCUGCUAUGCUUCAUGACGUCACUUUCAAAACUAUUAUCCAAAGAUAAUGACACAUACAAAGACUUCUCAUCCCCAGAUACAUCUGAUCUGCUGUUAAGUGCCUUAUAUUGUCUACUUGCUGCCAUAAACGCAUGCUUAGCAGCCUCAUACAACCGAAAAAGAACUUGCGUUGAAAUCCCCAACUUAUGAUCCCUAUUCCAAAAAACUGAGUUGCCAGCAGCUGAGCGCAGCACCGUUGUCAUCAGAUGAGGGUGAGGAAUGGCCUGCCUCUUUAUUCAGCUUGGAAAACUGGGACGGGUGAAGAAAUCCCACUUCAUCUUUGGGUUCAAUCAAGAGGAAAGAACAAUAUAUAAGACGACGGCAUUACUACAUAUUCCAAAAAUAUAACUGAGAACCCUUCCAAAAUUAAAAAAAAAAAGAGAGCACCUCUACACAAAAUCAUAAUGCACCCACAAUUACACACACACACCAAAUUCAAAAACUUAGCAUAAGAAUAAGGCAUACUUGGACCGUUAUCGAAAUCCCAGCCUCAGUAACAGUAAUGAACUAACACUGAAUCCACGUUUUGAAUUUGAACUAACACUGAAUGGACAUUUUCCAAAAAAAUAUGAAUCCAAGUAAAAUCAAGCUGUUACUUUUACAUAUGCAUGGAUCAACUCAUGCGGGAUCAAAUAUCUGUACUUUUCGACACGGAAAUUACACUUUGUGAAGGUUCACCAACCAAGCACGAAUAAAACCUAUAUAUACAAAACUCUAGUGGCAUUUCACCGAACACAAAGUCUGCGUCUUUACUGAAAACAGAGAAGCUAAACCUGCAAUCACUGAUUAUCUACUAACAUACAAGUACGAAUUACUUACAUUUGGGGAUCGGAUUCCAAGAUACGUUCGAAUUGAUUCAGAAGAUCGACCGUGUUUGCUUCGGAACGACGCAGCUCCUCUCCUUCCAUAUUUUCUGUUUGUUUCCCGAGAAAAUCCAAGGGAAAAAGAAAACCCUAGGGAAAAUGACAGCUUUAUACGAUGUUGGAACAAAAUGGUAAAUUAAUUUAAAAAAGAACUACGUGGAAGUUUUUUAUUCUUUGUUGCAAUAAGUUGCAGGAAAAAGUAAUGAUGCUGGCCGUAGAUGAUCCAGUUUUGGGCCAAUGUCACACUGACACGUAUCCACCUUCUUCGACUCUUCUUCUCUUGUGUAAAAUUUUGGAGCUGCUAUGGCUAUUCUCUCUCUACAAAUCUCUCUCUCUCUCUCUUCUGAGCAUCAAUCGCCGAAGGAUUUUCUCUCAUUUUCCCUCACUUUCUCUCCCGUUUUCUCUCUCGCCAAACACUCCAGUUCCUCAAGGAUCUGAGGUUUCUUCCACUUCAAAUCUCACCUUUUUUUUUUCUCUUCGAAUCGGGCAAAAAGGCAUUGAUUUGAAACGAAUAUUAUAAUAGAAAGGAAAGAGCUUUGGGGGGAUUCGAAUUUCCGAAUCUAGGGUUCCGUGAUCUGUAUAUGCGUCCGAUGACUAUGGGAAUCGUGGUGGAAGCGGCGUCGUUUGACGCCGAGCUGUUGCAGCUCAAUGAGGUGUCCCCUUUGGCCCUCAAAUCGAAUCCGAGCUCAAUGAGGCAUUGAUUUGUAAUUAGUUGUUGGAAAUGCUAAAGUUUAUAUAUAUAUAUUUUUUAAUUAGGAUACCUAUGAUUUACAUACUACAUAUUGUUUCAUCUUUUCGGAUGCAUGACAGUUUUUUUCAUUUUCCCGACUUUAUGGUUGCAGGUGACACAACUGCUAACUGAAGCAAAGGCAGGUAGGCCCCUGAAUGUUCAGGGAAAUUCUUCUAGUCCACAUGCCACUGCAGGCAGUACUUUGCCUUCUAUGUUUCCAGCAGGCAGUGCACCACCACUGUCACCAAGAAGUUCAUCUGGAUCCCCUCGCAUUAUGAAACAGAGGAUCGGUCCUUCUCAUUUAGGUUCUCCCCUGAAAGUAGUUAGCGAAUCAGUUAAAGAAGUGAUACCUAUUAAACUAAACAUGGUAAAUACCAAUAUUAAACUAAACAUGGUAAAUACAAAAAAUAUAUAUGAUAAUAUUUGGGAAUUUCUUAUAUAUUCAUUAAUCUUCAAAGUGGAGUAUAUAUAGGAGUUACAAUUGGUAUUACAUAUGUACUUCACCAAUGUGGGAACAAUAAACUGCUAUUUACACUUUAACUAAUGUAUAACUCGCAACACUCCCCCUCAAGUUGGUGCAAAGAUGUCACGCAUGCCCAACUUGUCAAGCGAGUCGGAAACGCACUAUUAGACACAGCCUUAGUAAGAGCAUCAGCAAGUUGAUCUUCAGAUCUCACAAACGGAAACAUAAUAAUUCCAGCAUCCAAUUUUUCCUUAAUGAAAUGUCGAUCAAUCUCCACAUGUUUUGUUCGAUCAUGUUGCACUGGAUUAUGAGCAAUCUCAAUAGCAGCCUUGUUAUCAUAAUGAAGUUUCAUAGCACCUUUGUGUUUAAACUCAAGAUCUCUCAACAAUUUUUCCAACCACAACAACUCACAUACACCAUGAGACAUACCACGAAACUCAGCUUCUGCACUUGACUUAGCCACCACUUUUUGUUUCUUGCUUAUCCAAGUAACUAAAUUACCACCCACAAACAUAAAGUAUCCAGAUGUAGAUCGCCGAUCAGUGAUAGAAUCUGCCCAAUUUGCAUCUAUAUACCCUUCGACAUUCAAAUGAUCAUUCUUGGAGAAAACCAGGCAUCUGCCAGGAGCCAUCUUCAAGUACCUCAAAAUACGGGUUACUGCAUCCAUAUGAGCUUCACUAGGUGAGUGCAUAAACUGACUUACCACACUAACUGCAUAAGCAAUGUCAGGGCGAGUGUGAGACAAAUAAAUUAAUCUCACCACAAGCCUUUGAUACCGUUCCUUAUGAGUAGGAACUUGAUCUGGAAAUAAGCCCAGACGAUGAUUCUGCUCAAUCGGAGUAUCAACAGGUUUGCAAUCUAACAUACAUGUUUCAGCUAACAAAUCAAGAACAUACUUCCUUCCAAGAAAAUACUUCAAUUCACCCAAUUCUUUCAUCUCAAACUCAGUAGCUAGGUACUUUUGAAGGUGCUGUAUCUCUUUCUGAUCAUCACCAGUCACUAUCAUGUCAUCAACAUAAAUAAUCAAUGCAGUUAGCUUACCAUUUUGUCGCUUUAGAAACAAAGUAUGAUCUGAAUGACUUUGGAUAUACCCAAACUUCUUCAUUAAACUUGUAAACCUCCCAAACCAUGCUCUAGGAGAUUGUUUCAAACCAUACAAGGCUUUUCGUAACCUGCAUACAACACCUUUUUCAGGAGACGUUCCAAUACCAGGUGGGAGAUCCAUAUACACUUACUCCUUAAGAUCACCUUGAAGGAAAGCAUUCUUAACAUCAAACUGCAACAGAGGCCAAUCCUGGUUUGCUACUAAGGACAGAAGAACACGCACAAUAUUAAGUUUGGCAACAGGAGCAAAGGUCUCCUGAUAGUCCACCCCAUAGGUUUGAGUAUAAUCCUUAGCAACUAAUCUGGCUUUAUACCGAUCAAUAGAAACAUCUACUUUGUGCUUAAUAGUAAACACCCAUCUACAUCCAAUGACUUUCUUCCCAUUUGGUAAUGGAACCAAAUCCUAAGUAGAAUUCUUUUUCAAAGCUUCCAUCUCAACUUUCAUGGCAUUAACCCACUUAGGGUCAGACAAAGCAUCUUGCAAUUUUGUUGGAAUUGAUACACUAGAUAGCUGACAUAUGUAAGAUGCAUAUGGUUGGGACAAACGAUGAGUAGACACAUAAUUGUUGAUAGGAUAUUUGGCUUUAACAUGCAUAUCAGGCUCAUAUUGUACUUUAGGUUUUCCACGAUUAGCUCGUGGAGGCAACUGAUAAGUAGAAGAAUCGUCAGAAUUUACCUCAUGUAUGCCACCAUCUUAUACCAAACUGUUAGAAGAAUCAUCACUGGACGAACCAUCAUCAGACAACUCGUUAGACAUAUCAGCAGCAGGCAACCGAUCAUCAGAAGGUAAUUCAUCAGACAUACUAACAGGCAAUUUGCUGGGCACAUCUGAUUUGUCGUUAGUAGAAAUAGUUCCGGGAAUGACAGGUGACCGAUCACUAUCUAUAACCGACUGAUUAGUAUCACGCAACAUAAUAGGUUAUGUUCCCAACUCUGUCUGUAACACAUCAUCCAUAUCAUCUCUUCGAAUCUGCACUUCACUCCUCCUCUCCCCCUGAAGUGGAAAGUCGGAAGAGGGCUUUACAAAAUACGAAACUUCCUCUUGGAAGGUGACAUCCAUGGUAAUAUAAGUUUUUUGAGUCGGAGGAUGAUAACACUUAUAGCCUUUUUGAUUGUUAGCAUACCCAAUAAAGACACACCGGAGAGCACAUGCAUCAAGUUUACUCCGCUGAUGAGAGUAGACAUGCACAUACACAAUACACCAAAACACUUUCGGAGGAAGCUUUGAGACAGAAACAAGAGAAACAUGUUUUUGUAGCACAUCAAACGGUGUCUGAAAAUCAAGAACCCUACUUGGAACACGAUUGAUCAAAUACACAGCAGCCAAAACAACAUGACCCCACAAAUGAUUAGGAACACAUUUAUCCAACAUCAAGGAGCGAGCAACCUCCAUUAUUUGACGAUUCUUCCGUUCGGACACACCAUUUUGUUGGGGUGUAAACGGAGUAGUUGUCUGGUGAAUCAUACCAUGAUCACGGAAAAAACAUGCCAAAAUGUGAUUCACAUAUUCUCCUCCGUUAUCAGACCUAAAGACCUUAACUUUGGUCUGAAACUGAGUAGACACCAUUGUACAAAAUUCUUGAAGAAGUAACGGAACAUCACUCUUAUUUUUCAUCAAGAACACCCAAGUUACCCGAGUACAAUCAUCAAUAAAAGUAACAAACCAACAGAAUCCAUUAGAAGUAACUUUCGCAGGACCCCACACAUCAGAAUAUAUCAAAUCAAAUGACAAAGUAGCUGUAGAAUCACUUACAUGAAAUGAAGCACAAUGACUCUUAGCCAUGACACAUGUUUCACACUUGAACUCUGAAUCACUACAAGUGCGAAACAAAGAAGGAAAUAGAUGCUUCAUAUAACUGAAUGAUGGAUGUCCUAAUCGUCGAUGCCAUAACCAAAUUUGAUGUCUGUCAUCCACUUUAGCUCUUAAACUUGAUGAUUAUUUGAACCGGAAACAACAGUAUCCUCCAUAGUCAAGAUGUACAAACCCCCUAUCCUUUUACCAUAACUAAUUAUCUUCUAAGUUUGAAUAUCUUGAAAAUAACAAUACGUAGGGUAGAAGUGAGCAGAACAAUAUAAAGUAUCAAGAAGUUUUCCUACCGACAAAAGAUUGUACUUAACAUCAGGAACAAGUAAAGCACGAACCAGUGAUAAGGUUGGAGUCAGAGAGAUAGUGUCUUCACCCUUCACAGGGGAAAGUGCUCCAUUUGCACUAGUAAUAUACGGAUCACGAACAUAGUCACAUAACUCAUCAAACACUCUAGGGUCACUAGUCACAUGAUCAGUGGCCUCAGUAUCAAUUAUCCAUUUAUUUGUUCCACCAAGAUGCAUAACAACACUAUGAUUAUAUUGAGCCAUUGAACAAAAUCACGAACAAUAAAAGCACAAAAGAUACGCAACGGAAUGAAAACAAUUUAUCAGAAUACUGUAGCAAUCACUGUUCACGGCACUGUAGCAAAGACUAUUCACGGCAAUGUAGCAAUCACUGUUCACGGCACUGUAGAAGACCACAGUUCACGCACUAUAGCAAAGCACUGUACUGUAGCCCGACACUUUUUUUUUUUUUUUCCCACACGGAGGAAAUCACGAAAAAUGUGGGCACAAAAUUAAAGCACACAGGUCACCAAGAGCGAACUGCUCUGAUGCCAUAUUAAACUAAACAUGGUAAAUACCAAAAAUAUAUAUGAUAAUAUUUGGGAAUUUCUUAUAUAUCCAUUAAUCUCCAAAGUGGAGUAUAUAUAGGAGUUACAAUUGGUAUUACAUACGUACUUCACCAAUGUGGGACAAUAAACUAUUAUUUACACUUUAACUAAUGUAUAACUCGCAACAAUACCUCAGGUUUGACAAAUCCUAAUCCUUUUCGGCAAUAAGAGUGGCACUAUUUUUUAUUUCUUUUGUUUUGCGUUGUAUUUGUCAUUUGAACUAUCUAGCUGUAAUGGUUUUCUUUAAUUAGAGGGAAAGGUAGGUUAUUAUUUCUAACUUGGAUUUUGUACCACUUGCAGUUUUACUUUCUAAAUGGUCGCCCGCCUCCAAAUGAACUAAAAGAUCAAUGCUUAUUAGAAUCAAUCAGUUUUUCUCUGGUAACUCAGACGGACUGCAGAUUCAUGGUGAGAUAUACUUAAGAUAUGAGUUUGUGUUGUACAACUAGAAUUAGCUUUUAACUGUCUCCUUGGUCGUACCCAGUGCACAAGGCUCCCGCUUUACGCAGGGUCUGGGAGAGGUGAAUGUCGGCUAGCCUUACCCCCAUUUAUGGAGAGGCUGCUCCCAAGUCUCGAACCCGAGACCUACCGCUCAUGGGCGAAGGCACUUGCCAUCGCACCAAGUGCGACCUCUAACUGUCUCCUUGGUGUAUCAGAAUUUAAAUCAGUUGCUAAGGAUAUAUGCAAGCGGCCCUCAUUCUUCUCCAUAUCUCUUUUCAGAAAAAUUGAUGCUAAGAGCAGUUCCAGCGUUGGCUGGUGCUCGGGGGAAAGGCUAGUGAACAGGGCCAGAUAGCCCGACUGAAGUGCUCCAGCGUGUGGGAACUCGAGGGACAGGGCAAGACUGAGCAACAAGCCCGUGAGGAAUUGCUAGCCCGCGAGCCCGAGUGGAUGUGACGCCAGGGCUGACGUCAUCCUGGCGUCAGCCCAAUUAUAUAUAUAUUUUUGUCAGGCGCGUGCCCCUCACCUGCACGUGGGGGCGCGUCAGCCAACACCUUUUCAGGAGCCGGGCCCACGUCACAAUUUGCCAAUGUUACUGUUGGAAAGACACGUGGCUUCCCACGGUCCGUUUGAUCUCAAUGGUCUAUUGGUAAUAUUCACUUUUUGUCAUUGCUUGUGAAAGGGUGUAGUUUCAAAGUUGUUAUCCCCACCCCCUUUCAAUAUCUUUCCUAGCUGUGGUUUAUCUUAUGUAACCACAACUAUUUUCCUUUACUUUUAAAAUGUCUCGAUUCUUGUUCACCAACCCUAUUACCCCACUUUAAGGUGCAUGAAUCUUUCUCUCUGAAGUGGAUAAACAAUGCCCUUUAUAAGGGUUGAUUGCGGAGAAGGGGUCAAGUAGCUUUCCUGGAGGCGCUUUUUUUUUCUGAGCUGACUUGUAGUGAACUCUUGGUUUAACUAAUAUUGUUACCUCACCUUACUAUAAAUUCUGGGUGGCCCCUGCUCUAGUCAUCCGGACAAGAAAACGGUACAGCUUGAGGAGAAGCUUGAGAUAGAUAUCAUCGGACUUGGGGCGCUUCGUCUUCUUGCUUUUACCUCCUGCCACGAGAACAAUCUUCAUUGUUGUUGCUGGUGUUGAAGUUCGGUUGCUCGGGACGCCUUUCGUUGGGCCUUUAUUUGGCCAAUUCAUUGAUCAAAUAUGGGAUCCUGUACUGCCAUAUGGUUGAGCCAACGAUGAAAACAGUAGGAGAAAAAGAGUGAACCCUCCCCCCCCCCAAAAAAAAAAAGUCUUGUACCCAUGAGAAAGGCUUGUAAUGGUACCAUCAUUGUUGGCAACAAUUUUUGCUGGUGGUGGUUACGACAAGGAAGUUGGGAACAAUGAUGUGGCUGAGGGCUUUGCAGAUCUUAUUGCUUAUGGUCCUUGGAUCUUGGCUAACCCAAACUUUUUUACUUUAUGUUUAUUCAGCUUUAAUUCUGAGGGUAUUUAAGUCUAUUUAAGUGGAUUUUCUGUUAUUUUUGAAAGAUUUUAUAAAAAAUGACAUUUAUGAAAUUGAGUGUUAAAUUUUGGCUAUUAUUGAUAAAAACUCAAUAAAAAUUAUCCCGUAAGUAUACAAGAUUAAGUUUAAGACGUCUUAAUAAUCAGAAGAUGCCUUUAUACAUUAUCCUUUCAUCAAUCAUGUUACAUGACAAAAAAAUGAGGUGUUGACUUAUAAGAACUAGCUAAAGGUAGCAUAUUCCUUUCUUUCUUUGUGGUUUCAACCUAUCCUUGCCCUCCUUACUAAAUCAUGUAACACAAAUGCUAUUCACACAUCCCAUUUUAUUUCUCACACAAAUCUUGAUAAUUUAUGUCUGUUGAUCUUCUUCAAUUCAUUUAAUCUGAUGGUCGAAAAUUAAAAGAGUAUGUAGGAAGUAAAAUGGAAUGUGUGGAUAUCACACCCCUAAAUUAAUUGCGACAAAAUAGAUUUUCAAAUACUUUUAUACAUUUGAGUUUGAGCUCUAUUUUUAUCAAUUACUUUAAUAAGUUGGCGACUACAUGAUGGGAGGAGGCAUGCGUUGAUGCUUAUAGUUGGCGACUACAUGAGAAGAAGAGGGAUUCUCUGAACAUAUUAAAAACCUUAAAUGCAUUAAUAAGUUAAAUUAAACCACCACAGAAACAAGAAAGUUCAAAAAGAGAGAGCAUAUUAUAAACAGAUCAAGGCAUGCAAAAAAAUACACUCUAUCUGCAAACUAGCUGAUUAAACCAGAAAGUUUCCUAGCUUACAUAGUCGUCGUCGUCUUGGGCCUCCUCAUCAUCACCCUCUUCAUUAUCAUCCGCAACUUCUUGGUCCUGAUCAUCGUCUUAUUCCGCCUCGUCCUCAUCAACACCCUCAUCAUUAGCAUCAGCACAUUGUUGGUCCUCAUCAUCGUCUUGUUCCUCUUCCUCCUCAAAAUCCUCCUCAUCAUCCCCAUCAAAAUCCUCAUCGUGUUGUCAUCAUCCUCAUCAAAAUCAUCAUCUUCAUAAUCCUCGUCAAAAUCAUCGACUUCGGUAGAAAUUUCUUGUAAGGCCCGUUCGUAAGGGAUAUAAUGGUAAUCAAAAAACGAACCUUUGAAAGUCAUAAGUUUGUCGCAUACUAAACGUACCCCUAUUUUCUUCACCGGACAAUGUGCAAUAACAUGGACCAAAUCGCUUUCUUCCAAAUUGAACUCGAUUUCCGACAACGAUAAAUUUGCCAGCCAAAUGAUCUCUUCAAAGAAAAAAAAUCUCCUAGUUCAACACAAAAACUAGUACCCUUGGUGUGAUUAAUAACAUAAAUAUAACUCGGCCUGAUGUAAUCACGAGGAACAAAAGCCAGGCACACAGCCAAUGCUUUUGCAUUAGAACCAAUUUCCUUAGGCACUUCAAAAGAGACUUGGGUACCCUCGUUUACAUGAUUGAACCAAGUGGGAAUUUGUCUUCCUACAAAACUCAUGGUUCCACCUCCUGUCCAUCCCUAUACCAUGUGGAACAAGAUUUGUGUGAGUACUACAUACAUAACACACAUAUUUGUGAGGGGGGAAGAGAGGGGGGUGGUGUGGAAGAGAGAGAGUACCUGUAUCGUGCUAUCCUUAAGAAGGAAAUCCAUGACAUUGUUGUGUGUUGUCAUAUAAAGAUUGAGUCCCGAGUUUAACGCGCUAUCCAAGCCUGGAAACUCAAUGAGUUUCGGGGAAAAAAGAAUCACUGCUGUCGACAUGCCUGAAAAAUCUGGCAUUCUUUCUAAUACAGAGCAGUCGUCCAUGUGCAGGAAACCCAAACUUUUUGGUAAAUCUGUAAUCUCAACAAGGUUUCUGCAACCAUUCAAGGAUAAUACAAGAAGCUUGGAGAGGCCACUGAGGCUUGGAAGGCUCCCAAAAUUAUUGUCAUCUAGACUUAACUCCACUAAACAAGGUAGACUACUCCCAAUAUCAUUAGGCACUUCCUCUAUAUUGCUGUCCUCCAAAAUUAAGCUUGUCAAAGAGCGUAAACCUUGUAAGGAAGGUAGCUGCAAAGAACACUUCAAUUUACUCAAAGAUAUGCGCUCGAGCUUCUCUAGUCGUACGAUGGAAGGUGGUACUUUUUUUAUGGCCGUCCCAUCUGCAUAAAGAGUGACCAAUGAUGCCAUUUCUCCCAAGUGCUCAGACAAGCUUUGGAAUCUUGAACAACCAUCGAGAACAAGAGUUUUGACAGAUUUCAACUUGUAGAAACUCCUCGGAAGAGCCUUAAGCGUUUCACAGUCCUUCAAAUUCACCAACACAAGACUCUUGAGAUCUCCGAUGGACUUGUGAACUUUAGCCAACCUCUUACAGUCUUUGAGUAUCAAUUUCUCAAGAUUUGGGAAUUUCGAAAAGUUUGGCGAUUGUGUUAGAUCGUGGGAGUGGCUGAGAUUCAGAAUCUUCAACUUAUCAAGCAACUGUUAAGAAAAAUCAAGUUGAAAUAAAAAAUUUAAAUCCAAAAAGAAGAUACAAAAAACAUAAAAAUAAUUCCAAAUUUGGUUCAGG